Long non-coding RNA from Camelus dromedarius (Arabian camel), 314 nucleotides. RefSeq lists it as uncharacterized. NCBI's taxonomy places the organism in Eukaryota, Metazoa, Chordata, Mammalia, Artiodactyla, Camelidae. The transcript has 3 exons. The record is from RefSeq and is a predicted model, not a curated record.
UCCUAGCGGCGCCUAGUGGGCUGGGCCUCUGCGGCCGGGGACCCUGGGGUCCGCGCGCGCGGAUGUCGCCCCACGAGGCGGAGGAUUGAGAAAGGGCCGGGCUGACAACCUCUUCCUGUGCAGCGAUCUCUACAGCGCCCAUGCUGUGACCCCUCCAGCUGACUGGCACAUGGAGACAGCCAGCUCCAGGAGGUUGCUCAGCAGUGUGGAGCCUGCCCAGAGCAGGAAUCCACUGGGCGACCAUUGGCUGUUAAGAAGACAGUUGCUUUAAUAAAGCCUCUUUACAGCCACAGCUGUUGCAAAUCCAAUACUGU